RNAcentral lists this ribosomal RNA (253 nucleotides) under uncultured bacterium. RNAcentral describes it as "partial 16S ribosomal RNA". It matches the Rfam family "Bacterial small subunit ribosomal RNA", at positions 524 to 776 of the family's 1533-position model. The record is from RNAcentral.
UACGUAGGUGGCAAGCGUUGUCCGGAGUUAUUGGGCGUAAAGCGUGCGCAGGCGGUUCGUUGUGUCGGCGGUGAAAGCCCCGGGCUUAACCUGGGAAUGGCCGUUGAAACUGGCGAACUGGAGUGUGGCAGAGGGGGGUGGAAUUCCGCGUGUAGCAGUGAAAUGCGUAGAGAUGCGGAGGAACACCGAUGGCGAAGGCAGCCCCCUGGGCUAACACUGACGCUCAGGCACGAAAGCGUGGGGAGCAAACAGG